This 468-nucleotide ribosomal RNA is filed under the name uncultured bacterium. RNAcentral's name for it is "partial 16S ribosomal RNA". It matches the Rfam family "Bacterial small subunit ribosomal RNA", at positions 28 to 507 of the family's 1533-position model. The record is from RNAcentral.
GACGAACGCUGGCGGCGUGCUUAACACAUGCAAGUCGAACGGAAAGGCCCUGCUUUUGUGGGGUGCUCGAGUGGCGAACGGGUGAGUAACACGUGAGUAACCUGCCCUUGACUUUGGGAUAACUUCAGGAAACUGGGGCUAAUACCGGAUAGGAGCUCCUGCUGCAUGGUGGGGGUUGGAAAGUUUCGGCGGUUGGGGGUGGACUCGCGGCUUAUCAGCUUGUUGGUGGGGGAGUGGCUUACCAAGGCUUUGACGGGUAGCCGGCCUGAGAGGGUGACCGGCCACAUUGGGACUGAGAUACGGCCCAGACUCCUCCGGGAGGCAGCAGUGGGGAAUAUUGCACACUGGGCGGAAGCCUGAUGCAGCAACGCCGCGUGCGGGAUGACGGCCUUCGGGUUGUAACCCGCUUUCGCCUGUGACGAAGCGUGAGUGACGGUAAUGGGUAAAGAAGCACCGGCUAACUACGUG